UCUCUUCUGUGGCGGCAGAGCUACUGGCGUUCACCAAUAUCAUACCAGAAUGGCUUUCCAAAGUCCAGCAAGAGAAGCUGUUUUCUGGUGAGCCAUUGUAUUCGCACAUCGAGCUCAUGAAAGGAAAGAAGCUAUAUGUGUUUCCUGCUAUUCAUUCACCCAAUCUGAUGUACGGAAUAUCUUUGUUAUGCAAAUAUAUUUCU
RNAcentral lists this unclassified non-coding RNA (203 nucleotides) under Hevea brasiliensis (rubber tree). The record is from RNAcentral. Lineage: Eukaryota; Viridiplantae; Streptophyta; Magnoliopsida; Malpighiales; Euphorbiaceae.